UAUAUAUAUAGAAUUAGACUGGAAUACUAUUAAUAGUAAAACGUUUUUUUUGCUAUCAAGUUUUUAACCCUUGGAUGAAAAAUUGUAGGGUCAGGAUGAUAUUAGUCAGUUAGAGUUGAGUGGUCCCCCCAGGGUUGAGUGGGUGGUUGGUUGAAUAGUAUAAUCUAAUGGUUGAAAAUGAUCCGAGGAGUAGAUCUAACGGUAAAAAACUUACAAGCACCAAAUGCUUGGUACUUUACAAGCACCAUAGCUAGACUAUAUAUAUAUAUAUAUAUAUAUAUAUAUAUAUAUAGUUGAGCUAGAAUACUCUUGACAGUAAACGAGCCGUUUUACUAUCGAGCUGUUUUCGAUGAUAGAGCUUCCAAAUUAACGAUCGGCUCCGUUGAACAUGAUUUAUACCACUUGAAGUGUUUAGAAAUCAAAUUUCAAAUCUUUUCGACAUCAUUUGCCUAAUGAUCAAAGGGUUUCAAAAUUUGUAAUUUUAAUGGUGGAUAAGAGACGUUUUCUCGUUUAACGGUGUAAGAUAUCCAAAUCAAUUAAAUUUUUGUUAGAAAAUUUUUUAAACUAUUUAAAACAAGAUCUAUACUCUUGAUCUUGAUUACAAGACUCCUAUCAUCAUUUUUUAAAGAAUAUUCAUUUUCAGCCUUUCAUUUUUCUGUUCACUAGAUGGAUAAAAAAUAAUAUCGAAAGUGCGUGAAAUUUUAUUUCUAAGUAGUUUAAAUGGUUUAGAUCAUAUUUAACGGAGCCGAUCGUCAAUUUGGAAGCUCUAUCAUCGAAAACAACUCGAUAGUAAAACGGCUAGUUUACUAUCGAGAGUAUUCUAGCACAACUCUAUAUAUAUAUAUAUAUAU
This 851-nucleotide long non-coding RNA is filed under the name Ananas comosus (pineapple). RNAcentral's name for it is "long non-coding RNA (ACOM_LNC020582)". Lineage: Eukaryota; Viridiplantae; Streptophyta; Magnoliopsida; Poales; Bromeliaceae. The record is from RNAcentral.